RNAcentral lists this ribosomal RNA (163 nucleotides) under Thanatephorus cucumeris. RNAcentral describes it as "5.8S ribosomal RNA". It matches the Rfam family "5.8S ribosomal RNA". From Rfam's summary of the family: 5.8S ribosomal RNA (5.8S rRNA) is a component of the large subunit of the eukaryotic ribosome. The record is from RNAcentral. Lineage: Eukaryota; Fungi; Basidiomycota; Agaricomycetes; Cantharellales; Ceratobasidiaceae.
ACUAAAUUUCCACCACCGAUCUCUUGGCUCUCCCAUCGAUGAAAAACGCCGCCAAAUGCGAUAAGUAAUGUGAAUUGCAAAAUUCCGUGAAUCAUCGAAUCCUUGAACGCACCUUGCCCUCCUUGGUAUUCCUUGGAACAUGGCUGGUUGAAUAUCAUGAAAU